This 381-nucleotide ribosomal RNA is filed under the name Salmonella enterica subsp. enterica serovar Infantis. Its description in RNAcentral is "partial 23S ribosomal RNA". It matches the Rfam family "Bacterial large subunit ribosomal RNA", at positions 1 to 412 of the family's 2925-position model. Lineage: Bacteria; Pseudomonadati; Pseudomonadota; Gammaproteobacteria; Enterobacterales; Enterobacteriaceae. RNAcentral also lists the same sequence under 1 other name. The record is from RNAcentral.
GGGUUGUGAGGUUAAGCGACUAAGCGUACACGGUGGAUGCCCUGGCAGUCAGAGGCGAUGAAGGGCGUGCUAAUCUGCGAUAAGCGCCGGUAAGGUGAUAUGAACCGUUAUAACCGGCGAUACCCGAAUGGGGAAACCCAGUGUGAYUCGUCACACUAUCAUUAACUGAAUCCAUAGGUUAAUGAGGCGAACCGGGGGAACUGAAACAUCUAAGUACCCCGAGGAAAAGAAAUCAACCGAGAUUCCCCCAGUAGCGGCGAGCGAACGGGGAGGAGCCCAGAGCCUGAAUCAGCAUGUGUGUUAGUGGAAGCGUCUGGAAAGGCGCGCGAUACAGGGUGACAGCCCCGUACACAAAAGCGCAUGUGCUGUGAGCUCGAUGAG